AUGCAACUUCAGCACCAUUGAUGAAAUCUUCAAGAAACUUUGUAUGUGGCCAAAGUUGAUCAGGUGAAACAUGCAUAGUGCAGCCCUCUUUACCAGAUUCCCAUUCAACCACGAAGCGAGCAAGCACCCCAGAACCGAAACUGAACCACAGACUCAUCAGUCCUACUGCCUCAAUUCUGAAUUGCUUUCUCAUCUGUUCGGAAAUUCUAUCAGUUGCAUCAGUAGUGCCUUUAAGUGCAGCCGGUGCUUUACUUUCAGAGUUUGCAUUAUUUUCUUCAAACUUCUCAUCAGCCCUAGCACCAAGCAACUUCCGCAUUCCAAGCGCAAAUGUUCGAGCAUUAGAUAGCCUUUGAA
Molecule: unclassified non-coding RNA, 354 nt
Filed under: Hevea brasiliensis (rubber tree)
Lineage: Eukaryota; Viridiplantae; Streptophyta; Magnoliopsida; Malpighiales; Euphorbiaceae
Source: RNAcentral